GCCGAGCGCAGCGGCCUUCGGGAUACCUGCGACGAGGAUCAGCCGGCCAGUGCCUCGAUUGCUAGAAAACCCCGGCAGCC
Molecule: small RNA, 80 nt
Filed under: Pseudomonas phage PS-1
Lineage: Duplodnaviria; Heunggongvirae; Uroviricota; Caudoviricetes
Description: Proteo-phage-1 RNA
Rfam family: Proteo-phage-1 RNA
Source: Rfam by way of RNAcentral